This 72-nucleotide transfer RNA is filed under the name Diaphorina citri (Asian citrus psyllid). It matches the Rfam family "tRNA". Rfam says of the family: Transfer RNA (tRNA) molecules are approximately 80 nucleotides in length. The record is from Rfam by way of RNAcentral. Lineage: Eukaryota; Metazoa; Arthropoda; Insecta; Hemiptera; Psyllidae.
GCUCCCAUGGCGUAGUGGUCACUGCACUCGCCUUGCACGCGGGAGACCCGGGUUCGAUUCCCAGCAGGGUCA